Molecule: unclassified non-coding RNA, 206 nt
Filed under: Hevea brasiliensis (rubber tree)
Lineage: Eukaryota; Viridiplantae; Streptophyta; Magnoliopsida; Malpighiales; Euphorbiaceae
Source: RNAcentral
GUUUGAAGAGCAGGAGGAAUCGCCUCCGAACUCCCCCUCUGCCGCCGACGACCUCGAAGUUCCGACCAAUGUUGCCCCUGUUCCUGCCGACGCUUUUGAUUUGCAAGACGGCGACGAUGAUCCAAAAUCCGCUGCUGUUGCUACACAUUCCGCUACUCCUGCAACCACCGCUUCUAUGUUUGUUUCCUCUUCCUCCAAUGUCUCUG